GAUCCUAAGUGGCCGGGGCCCCCCGUCCCCGACGCGGCUGUCGACCGGGCCGGACUGUCCUCAGUCCGUGCCUGACCGCGCCGCGCGCCAGGGCGGGGAUCGGCCCACGAAACGGCGCUCGGGGUCUGCGGCGAAGCGGCUACCCA
RNAcentral lists this ribosomal RNA (146 nucleotides) under Clupea harengus (Atlantic herring). Lineage: Eukaryota; Metazoa; Chordata; Actinopteri; Clupeiformes; Clupeidae. The record is from RNAcentral.